GUGAGGAAUUUUGCGCAAUGGGGGCAACCCUGACGCAGCGACGCCGCGUGGAGGACGAAGUCUUUCGGGAUGUAAACUCCUGUCAGUGGGGACGAUAAUGACGGUACCCACAGAGGAAGCACCGGCUAACUCCGUGCCAGCAGCCGCGGUAAGACGGAGGGUGCAAGCGUUGUUCGGAAUUACUGGGCGUAAAGCGUAUGUAGGCGGCAAGUUAAGUUCAAUGUUAAAGCCCACGGCUCAACCGAGGAGAUGCAUUGAAUACUGGCUAGCUAGAGGGGGUUAGAGGAAGACGGAAUUCCCAGUGUAGCGGUGAAAUGCGUAGAUAUUGGGAGGAACAUCGGUAGCGAAAGCGGUCUUCUGGGACAUACCUGACGCUGAGGUACGAAAGCGUGGGGAGCAAACGGGAUUAGAAACCCGUGUAGUCC
This 425-nucleotide ribosomal RNA is filed under the name uncultured bacterium. Its description in RNAcentral is "partial 16S ribosomal RNA". It matches the Rfam family "Bacterial small subunit ribosomal RNA", at positions 354 to 796 of the family's 1533-position model. The record is from RNAcentral.